GACGAACGCUGGCGGCGUGCUUAACACAUGCAAGUCGAACGGUGAAAGGGAGCUUGCUCCCUGGAUCAGUGGCGAACGGGUGAGUAACACGUGGGCAACCUGCCCCAGACUUCGGGAUAACGCUUCGAAAGAGGUGCUCAUACCGGAUACGAACUCCUUGGGCAUCCUUGGAGUUGGAAAGUUUUUCGGUCUGGGAUGGGCCCCCGGCCUAUCAGCUUGUUGGUGAGGUAACGGCGCACAAAGGCGACGACGGGUAGCCGGCCUGAGAGGGCGUCCUGCCACCCUGGGAAUGAGACACGGCCCAGAACCCUACGUGAGGCAGCAGUGGGGAAUAUUGCUCAAUGGGCGAAAGACUGACGCAGCAACGCCGCGUGAGGGAUGACGGCCGUCGGGUUGUAAACCUCUUUCAGCAGGGAAGAAGCGAAAGUGACGGUACCUGCAGAAGAAGCACCGGCUAACUACGUGCCAGCAGCCGCAGUAA
Molecule: ribosomal RNA, 481 nt
Filed under: uncultured bacterium
Lineage: Bacteria
Description: partial 16S ribosomal RNA
Rfam family: Bacterial small subunit ribosomal RNA
Source: RNAcentral